This 460-nucleotide ribosomal RNA is filed under the name uncultured bacterium. Its description in RNAcentral is "partial 16S ribosomal RNA". It matches the Rfam family "Bacterial small subunit ribosomal RNA", at positions 338 to 795 of the family's 1533-position model. The record is from RNAcentral.
CCGACGGGAGGCAGCAGUGAGGAAUAUGGGUCAAUGGACGAGAGUCGGAACCAGCCAAGUAGCGUGAAGGAUGACUGCCCGAUGGGUUGUAAACUUCUUUUAUAUGGGAAUAAAAUGUGCCACGGGUGGGAUUUUGUAUGUACCAUAUGAAUAAGGAUCGGCUAACUCCGUGCCAGCAGCCGCGGUAAUACGGAGGAUCCGAGCGUUAUCCGGAUUUAUUGGGUUUAAAGGGAGCGUAGGUGGAUUGUUAAGUCAGUUGUGAAAGUUUGCGGCUCAACCGUAAAAUUGCAGUUGAAACUGGCAGUCUUGAGUACAGUAGAGGUGGGCGGAAUUCGUGUUGUAGCGGUGAAAUGCUUAGAUAUCACGAAGAACUCCGAUUGCGAAGGCAGUUCACUGGACUGCAACUGACACUGAGGCUCGAAAGUGUGGGUAUCAAACAGGCUUAGAUCCCCCUGUAGUC